UAGGGAAUCUUCCGCAAUGGACGAAAGUCUGACGGAGCAACGCCGCGUGAGUGAAGAAGGAUUUCGGUUCGUAAAACUCUGUUGUUAGGGAAGAAAAAAUGUAUAGUAACUAUAUACAAAAGAGACGGUACCUAACCAGAAAGCCACGGCUAACUACGUGCCAGCAGCCGCGGUAAUACGUAGGUGGCAAGCGUUGUCCGGAAUUAUUGGGCGUAAAGCGCGCGCAGGUGGUUUAGAAAGUCUGAUGUGAAAGCCCACGGCUCAACCGUGGAGGGUCAUUGUAAACUAAUAUACUGGAGUGCACGAGAGACAAGUGGAAUUCCUAGUGUAGCGGUGAAAUGCGUAGAGAUUAGGAGGAACACCGGUGGCGAAAGCGGCUUUUUGGCCUGCAACUGACACUGAGGCGCGAAAGCGUGGGGAGCAAACAGG
RNAcentral lists this ribosomal RNA (429 nucleotides) under Verrucomicrobiota bacterium. RNAcentral's name for it is "Verrucomicrobia bacterium partial 16S ribosomal RNA". It matches the Rfam family "Bacterial small subunit ribosomal RNA", at positions 355 to 776 of the family's 1533-position model. Lineage: Bacteria; Pseudomonadati; Verrucomicrobiota. The record is from RNAcentral.